Molecule: long non-coding RNA, 681 nt
Filed under: Gossypium raimondii (Peruvian cotton)
Lineage: Eukaryota; Viridiplantae; Streptophyta; Magnoliopsida; Malvales; Malvaceae
Description: long non-coding RNA (GRAI_LNC001700)
Source: RNAcentral
UAGAAACCUUAAGCCAGAAAUAAGAUAUCAGAGUAUUUUAAAUCAUGUCUUACUAAAUCUCUCUGAUCUCUUCCUGCUUGCUUAUGAUGUAUCUAUGAAAGAAAAUCUCCUGUGAGUUUAAGAGAAUGCUCUAUGCUUGCCAUACAAUGGAUCUUGCACAUCAGAAAUUAAGCUUAGACCAGGGAUACUAAGCUUAGAUGAGUUUGAAGAAGUAGUCUAAAUUAAUUGUAUUAACAACUAAAAGGCAGUGCCUGUUUAAGUGGCCAAGAGGAGAAGGCCUUUGUUUUGAAAUAGCAUACCUGCUGUUAUGACCCAUUAAGUUCAGAUAUCCCAUCUUCAUACUCACAUGCCCAUCCCCAACUCCUUCAGUGGGCUGAAUGGUUUUCAUUUUCAUUUUCGAGGUCAAGGUUGCUACCUACCCUUUCUCUCUGCCCUUGUUUAUAGCAUCGCCAUUGGAACAACACACAAUUUGGUGAAGCUUGGCUUUAUAUCCUCAUCAAGCAAACCUCUCUUUAAUGUUUCAUCAUACCAAGUGAGGCGACAUGACUCUUGGAAGAUAUAUGAAAAAUAGUUUUUGAUGACACACAUCAAUAUGUCAUAUCUUAACUUAAUAAACACUUUGCCUAGUCCUUUCAUGUCCACCUUUAUAAUAUUUUCAAUUGAAAUGCGCCAUCCUACCAC